RNAcentral lists this ribosomal RNA (253 nucleotides) under uncultured bacterium. RNAcentral describes it as "partial 16S ribosomal RNA". It matches the Rfam family "Bacterial small subunit ribosomal RNA", at positions 524 to 776 of the family's 1533-position model. The record is from RNAcentral.
GACAGAGGGUGCAAACGUUGUUCGGAAUUACUGGGCGUAAAGCGCGUGUAGGCGGCAACACAAGUCGGAUGUGAAAUCCCGCGGCUUAACCGUGGAAGUGCACCCGAAACUGUGUCGCUAGAGUCCCGGAGAGGAUGGUGGAAUACUUGGUGUAGAGGUGAAAUUCGUAGAUAUCAAGUGGAACACCGGUGGCGAAGGCGGCCAUCUGGACGGUGACUGACGCUGAGACGCGAAAGCGUGGGUAGCAAACAGG